CCUACGGGAGGCAGCAGUGAGGAAUAUUGGUCAAUGGGCGCGAGCCUGAACCAGCAAAGUAGCGUGAAGGAUGACUGCCCUACGGGUUGUAAACUUCUUUUAUAAAGGAAUAAAGUGAGGCACGUGUGCCUUAUUGUAUGUACUUUAUGAAUAAGGAUCGGCUAACUCCGUGCCAGCAGCCGCGGUAAUACGGAGGAUCCGAGCGUUAUCCGGAUUUAUUGGGUUUAAAGGGAGCGUAGAUGGGUUGUUAAGUCAGUGGUGAAAGUUUGCGGCUCAACCGUAAAAUUGCAAUUGAUACUGGCAGUCUUGAGUACAGUUGAGGUAGGCGGAAUUCGUGGUGUAGCGGUGAAAUGCUUAGAUAUCACGAAGAACUCCGAUUGCGAAGGCAGCUUACUAAACUGCCACUGACAUUGAUGCUCGAAAGUGUGGGUAUCAAACAGGAUUAGAUACCCGAGUAGUC
This 460-nucleotide ribosomal RNA is filed under the name uncultured bacterium. RNAcentral's name for it is "partial 16S ribosomal RNA". It matches the Rfam family "Bacterial small subunit ribosomal RNA", at positions 338 to 795 of the family's 1533-position model. The record is from RNAcentral.